This is a long non-coding RNA of Coregonus clupeaformis (lake whitefish), 1973 nucleotides long. RefSeq lists it as uncharacterized. The record is from RefSeq and is a predicted model, not a curated record. The transcript has 4 exons. Lineage: Eukaryota; Metazoa; Chordata; Actinopteri; Salmoniformes; Salmonidae.
UGUUUUGCCGCAUAGUUGCACACGUGUCAGUUUUGUUGAUAAACAACCAACCCCUCUAUAGUAAACGUAAAUUAGUCUUUGAGGCCAGGCUGGGGUAGGCUAGGCCUAAAUGAUAAACUCAGUGUUGCAGAGAAAGAUGAGAAAGCGAAAGUCUGUUUUGAAAGUUCUUGUCUGCUACAUUUGCCACAGAAUUAUUGAAGGUAAUGAUUAUUUUUAUUUUCUCUCAUUGUUCAGUUGUUCAUCUCUUAUUUGUUGCAUGCUAACAAAUAAGAGAUGUUUAUAUAAAUCAGAUUUUACUAAGUAGCCCAGGCUAGUAAUGCUUCCUAACUAGUGGCUAUUCGCUUUGGAUCUAGAUUAAAAUUGAUUGUACACAGCAGCAUGCAAACGUGGAGAUAUAUUUUGAUUCACAUGGGUUUCACUGGUGAUUGUGUGACAGGUUGCCAUUAUGAUAAAAGUGUAAAUUCUGGCAUAGGCCUACAUCUGUUGUUUUUUGUCUUGUAGAUUUCCAUUUUUCAUCUGACAGAUGGGUCCCAUUGUCCUUGAGAGGGGUACCUCUCUCUCCCCCCUCCUCUCCCCCAUCCUCCUCUCCCCAGCUGUCACUUGAACCCCCUUUUCCCAUGUCCACCCAACCUCAGUGUCCCCAAAACCCCCUCUCAAGGACUUUCUGAAUCAGAUGGUGAGUGUGGACGGUGCCAUGGUGAAGUUUGAGAUCUGCGACACGGCUGGUCAGGAGUGCUACCACAGCCUGGCACCUAUGUGCUACAGAGGAGCCCAGGCAGCCAUAGUGGUCUAUGACAUCACCAACACAGAGACCUUUGUACGAGCCAAAGCCUGGGUGAGCGAGCUCCAGAAACAGUCUGUUAACAGAGCGGUGGAGUAUACGGAUGGUCAGGGCUAAGUUGCUGACAACAGUAUUUUCUUCAUGGAGUCCUCUGCCAAGACAGCCAGGAAUGUCAACAACCUCUUCCUGGUCAUAGCCAAGAAACUGCCCAAGAGUGAGCCACUGGGUGGAGUAGCGGGUAGUGCUCGGGUUCGAGGAGGACCUCCAGUGGAUCUCAGGCAACCUACCCAGACAAGUCCAGCCCAGUGCUGUGGAAACUGAGGAGGGAACGGGGGAGAAGAGGAGAAGCAAACUGAGUGUAAAACGGGACCAAAUGAAAGUGUUUCACAGCAAGCUCACAACUGAGGGAGCAGGGAAGGCUAAAUAGAUUUUCCAGAGAAAAGAAGGGAGAGUGGAAGAGAGAUAGAAGUGCAGCAUGAAAAUGAAAGAGGGAGUUAAAGGAAUUAUAAGGGACAAAUAUAUAGAGCAAUGGGAGGAAAACAACACUGGAAUAAGAUUAACUUCUAUCUUGUCAACACUACUGGACAGCCACUGAUAAAUACACGAAUGGUCUGUGAUCCAUACACUCUUUAGUCUUAGGCUUUAUAACACUCCUGUAACCUUUCCAUAUUUUCAUGGGUAUAUUUAAUAUUAUGAUAAUAAUUCAGAAAAUGUCGUAAGAAUGGAAAGAGAUCAAGGGAUGAUAUUGGAUUUUUUUAUUUCGAGCUCCAAGGCUGACUUGAAAGUGAUAAUGGAGGCUUCAUUUACCAAUCGGUUUCAUAUUCAUUGAUAAUCACCUCAAAACGUCAGCUGAAUUUUGUAACAAUUACUUUGUUCGUGAGGUCAGUAGCUAGGUUUCCAUCUAAUUGGUGACAGAUUUUCAUGCGAAUAUUCUAAAGUCUGCAAAGAACUAAAUGCGCAAUAUCCAUCAAAUUGACUUGUUGUGGAUAAAAGGCUGUGCUUGAUGAUGUAGUGCACAUAAAAAUACCUUUUGCGUUUAAAUUCCCAAGUACCAAAUAAAACAUUCAAGUGAAAUAGGUUUCCAUCGCAUUUUAAACUUACAAAAAAUUUUGCGUUAUAUACUGAAUGUGCCCACUCUGGUAUUGGCAUGUGCGCUCUAGCCAACAGCUCGCAGAUACAGUGUGGGUAUAGC